AUGCAGUCACCAGCCACAGGUCAGGGCCCGGGUGAAGGGGCUCAGCCUCCGGCACCCUGCCCAAGCACUACCUCUCAGUGUUGCCAAGGAAGUUUGAAAGUGAAAAUGCCUGGGGAGAAAGUGAAACCAGCUUCUCCUCUCCCUCUCCCGCCGCCCUGGGGGCGUGUCGCCUGCCUUUGCCCAGAAGCACGCGUGACAGAAGCUGAGUCAGUGGAGAAAGACCAAAGUAGAUGCCGCUCGUGGCCUCGGAGCCCUGCAGGAAGCAAGCGCCUGCUCCUCUGGCUCCAUAGCUGUAGACUAAGAUGGCCCGCGGCCAAGCCCAGAACGCCGGUCCUGGAGUGAGAGGCUUCCCCCGGAACGAGCUCAGCGUCCAUCAUGACGUGUGAAGAGCGAGGCCGCCCCUGCCUCUCCCAGCAGCCCAGCAGACCAGAGAUGGUGUUGGAAGAGCGCCCAGAAGGGGCCGCUGGGCUCAGACACUGCACCUGCUCUGGGGGACUCCAAUUCAGAUCUUGCUUGGGAGGGGGUCAGUGAGCAAAUUCCUGGGGGCAGCAGGAAUUUGCUCCUGCCUAGAGACCCUGGCACCUCGGGGUCAGCUGGAGUUGGGGAGAUUCUUAAAAAUGCUAUUCAAGGCCCCCCCCAGUCCAAGGGCAGCAGACCCUCUGGGGGGACUUGUUUCCUGACUGGCAGUCAGGACAGGGAAUCCUGGGCCAGCACUAAGCACCGCCACUUUCUCCUGACCUGAGAUGGGAAAACGUGUGACAGGGCGGCGAGGAGAACACCUGCCUUAAACUUCAUUGGCCGCACAUCACAGAGGUGUGCUAAGGGUCCUUGUCCCCAAGGUAAGACUCAGGCACUCCUCGGAAUGGCCACUGGUGGGAAAGCAAGGUUGAGUCAGCCUUUUUUUUUUUUUUUUUGUUUUUGUUGCUUUUUUUCCAGGGGGAGUCUCUGCUGAUCGCGGCGGGGUAGACUGCCCAGGCACGAUCACUGGCUUUUGGGCCAAUUAUUUUUUUUUUUUUUUUUUGACAGACAGAGUGGACAGAGAGAGAGAGACAAAGAGAAAGGUCUUCCUUUGCCGUUGGUUCACCCUCCAAUGGCUGCCGCGGCCAGCGCACCGCGCCUAUCCAAAGGCAGGAGCCAGGUGCUUUUCCUGGUGUCCCAUGGGGUGCAGGGCCCAAGCACUUGGGCCAUCCUCCACUGCCUUCCCGGGCCACAGCAGAGAGCUGGCCUGGAAGAGGGGCAACCGGGACAGAAUCCGGCACCCCUACUGGGACUAGAACCCGGUGUGCCGGCGCUGCUAGAUGGAGGAUUAGCCUAUUGAGCCAUGGCACCGGCCCUCUGAGCC
RNAcentral lists this long non-coding RNA (1342 nucleotides) under Oryctolagus cuniculus (rabbit). RNAcentral's name for it is "lncRNA (ENSOCUG00000033454.1)". Lineage: Eukaryota; Metazoa; Chordata; Mammalia; Lagomorpha; Leporidae. The record is from RNAcentral.